UACGAAGGGGACUAGCGUUGUUCGGAAUCACUGGGCGUAAAGCGCACGUAGGCGGAUUCGUAAGUCAGGGGUGAAAUCCCGGGGCUCAACCUCGGAACUGCCUUUGAUACUGCGGGUCUUGAGUCCGAUAGAGGUGGGUGGAAUUCCUAGUGUAGAGGUGAAAUUCGUAGAUAUUAGGAAGAACACCGGUGGCGAAGGCGGCCCACUGGAUCGGUACUGACGCUGAGGUGCGAAAGCGUGGGGAGCAAACAGG
Molecule: ribosomal RNA, 253 nt
Filed under: uncultured bacterium
Lineage: Bacteria
Also listed under: 1 other name
Description: partial 16S ribosomal RNA
Rfam family: Bacterial small subunit ribosomal RNA
Source: RNAcentral